This 30-nucleotide non-coding RNA is filed under the name Rattus norvegicus (Norway rat). The record is from RNAcentral. Lineage: Eukaryota; Metazoa; Chordata; Mammalia; Rodentia; Muridae.
UAACAUGUUAGAGAAGAAAUACAGCAGCCU